Molecule: microRNA, 21 nt
Filed under: Mus musculus (house mouse)
Lineage: Eukaryota; Metazoa; Chordata; Mammalia; Rodentia; Muridae
Description: mmu-miR-6921-3p
Source: miRBase by way of RNAcentral
UGACUACUCCUUGCCUCUCAG